This 121-nucleotide ribosomal RNA is filed under the name Gossypium arboreum. The record is from RNAcentral. Lineage: Eukaryota; Viridiplantae; Streptophyta; Magnoliopsida; Malvales; Malvaceae.
GGGUGCGAUCAUACUAGCACUAAUGCACAGGAUCCCAUCAGAACUCUACAGUUAAGCGAGCUUGGGCGAGUGAGUUGUACUAGGAUGGGUGACCCCCUGGGAAGUCCUCUUAUUGUACCUC